Molecule: ribosomal RNA, 460 nt
Filed under: uncultured bacterium
Lineage: Bacteria
Description: partial 16S ribosomal RNA
Rfam family: Bacterial small subunit ribosomal RNA
Source: RNAcentral
CCUACGGGUGGCAGCAGUGAGGAAUAUUGGUCAAUGGACGCAAGUCUGAACCAGCCAAGUAGCGUGCAGGAUGACGGCCCUCCGGGUUGUAAACUGCUUUUAGUUGGGAAUAAAAUGUUCCCCGUGUGGGAUUUUGUAUGUACCAUAUGAAUAAGGAUCGCCUAACUCCGUGCCAGCAGCCGCGGUAAUACGGAGGAGCCGAGCGUUAUCCGGAUUUAUUGGGUUUAAAGGGAGCGUAGGUGGAUUGUUAAGUCAGUUGUGAAAGUUUGCGGCUCAAGCGUAAAAUUGCAGUUGAAACUGGCAGGCUGGAGUACAGUAGAGGUGGGCGGAAUUCGUGGUGUAGCGGUGAAAUGCUUAGAUAUCACGAAGAACUCCGAUUGCGAAGGCAGCUCACUGGACUGCAACUGACACUGAGGCUCGAAAGUGUGGGUAUCAAACAGGAUUAGAUACCCCUGUAGUC